UUGAUUUUCUUCUUCCUAAUAGCCAUAUUUAUUCACUAAAACCUGACGACUUUAAACAAACACUUACCCUAACCCUAGACAACUUACCAUAAACGGGAAGAAAAUACAGAAGCAAGAUUAAAAGCAAAGGCAAAACACAUCUUUUCUUUUCCCCUAUAAACUGAAAAACCGAAAGUACACAACUAUUUGACUAAACGAUCAAUCUUUAGUUAAGAUGAGAAGAUGUGAUCUCUCAACCCCACUAGAGAAAAAAGCCAAACAUUUUUUUUCCAUCACAAAAGCAAAUCCAUGAAACUAGACUAAAAAACAAAAAUCUCGGAACAGAUCCAAGACCCUUUAAAGCAAAAGCCAGACCAUACUUUAACCCGACUUCACCUACAAGAUGGUCUGAGUGCUAAGUAGAUCUUCAAACCCAAAACUUGAAGCCUCGGAGACGCUCCUGGUGUGAACCAAGGAGACCCCCAAGAGUGAACAACCCUACCUACCGAGGCCUUUGGUUACCUUCAAUAAUAAAAAGAAGAGGGUGGUAGCCAAGGGUUAAAUACUAAUAGCGGCCUAGGGUUUUGAUCAAAUAAAUAAAUGAUGAUGGUUUGGUGGUGGGUCGGGAAGUGAGCUGUAUUUGCUGUUUUCCUUGCCCUUUCCAUAAAAUUUUUUUAAAGCAAAAUAAAUAAAGAGGCUGCUCCCUGGCCUUUGCCUUUAUCAUGAAAGAGUCUCGGGAACCGGCCACAUUAGAUUCCCUGUUUUGAUAAUCACAAUUUCACAUGCCUUCGAAAACUGGUGAACAACCGAGCCCCACGAUAUUUACUACUCACCGGCCCCUAUCUUAUCUUAUCGUCAUUACCAGAUUGCCUCACCCUCUUAACAAUGUUUCUCCUUCACCAAAUUUUGAAACAUACAGUGCUCAUUUGGAUUCUCCUCAACCUGCUUUUCGACACGUUCAACAUGUUUUUUUUUGUACGAUCGCAUUGUAGGAAGCUCUUUAGAUAUUUGCGGUGGAACGGUAGUAACCACAGCAAGUUUGAAUCCAUGUAAUUUUUGUAUUAUCCGAAUUUUAUUUAAAACUUUAGCUGGAUAAAUUGUUUGAGU
RNAcentral lists this long non-coding RNA (1086 nucleotides) under Gossypium barbadense (sea-island cotton). RNAcentral describes it as "long non-coding RNA (GBAR_LNC008548)". The record is from RNAcentral. Lineage: Eukaryota; Viridiplantae; Streptophyta; Magnoliopsida; Malvales; Malvaceae.